UAGGGUGCGAGCGUUGUCCGGAUUUAUUGGGCGUAAAGGGCUCGUAGGUGGUUGAUCGCGUCGGAAGUGUAAUCUUGGGGCUUAACCCUGAGCGUGCUUUCGAUACGGGUUGACUUGAGGAAGGUAGGGGAGAAUGGAAUUCCUGGUGGAGCGGUGGAAUGCGCAGAUAUCAGGAGGAACACCAGUGGCGAAGGCGGUUCUCUGGGCCUUUCCUGACGCUGAGGAGCGAAAGCGUGGGGAGCGAACAGGCUUAGAUACCCUGGUAGUCCACGCUGUAAACGGUGGGUACUAGGUGUGGGGUCCAUUCCACGGGUUCCGCGCCGUAGCUAACGCUUUAAGUACCCCGCCUGGGGAGUACGGCCGCAAGGCUAAA
This 373-nucleotide unclassified non-coding RNA is filed under the name plant metagenome. RNAcentral's name for it is "partial contains 5.8S ribosomal RNA, internal transcribed spacer 2, and large subunit ribosomal RNA". It matches the Rfam family "Bacterial small subunit ribosomal RNA", at positions 528 to 898 of the family's 1533-position model. The record is from RNAcentral.